Ictidomys tridecemlineatus (thirteen-lined ground squirrel) is the source of this 74-nucleotide non-coding RNA. NCBI's taxonomy places the organism in Eukaryota, Metazoa, Chordata, Mammalia, Rodentia, Sciuridae. The record is from Rfam.
GUAUGUAUAGCUCAGUUGGUAGAGUGCUUGCCUCGUAUGCACAAGGUCCUGGGUUCAAUCCCCAGCAUCACACA